Molecule: ribosomal RNA, 3087 nt
Filed under: Sphaerospora dykovae
Lineage: Eukaryota; Metazoa; Cnidaria; Myxozoa; Bivalvulida; Sphaerosporidae
Description: 18S ribosomal RNA
Rfam family: Eukaryotic small subunit ribosomal RNA (bases 1327-3087)
Source: RNAcentral
GCUUGUCUCAGGACUAGCCAUGCAUGCCUAAGUUCAUACCAUAUAAAGGUGAAACUGCGAAUCGCUCAGUAAAUCAGUUAUUGUUUCUUUGAUUGUACCGGGACGCUGCCUUCACCGGCAGUGUCACACAUUGGAUAACUCUGGGAAACUAGAGCUAAUACAUGUCAACUGCUAUCUCGGGGUAGCGUGCAUUUGUUCGCUUGACAAAACCAACACUGACCGAUCUAAGCGUUGUGGCUGGCUACUGGGUGCGUGCAAACGUGUCCGGUUUUCAGCUGUGGCGUGCACGGGUCGGCCACGUACACGGUGAAUCUGAAUAACUGAUGCUGAUCGUACAGGGCCUACGUGCCCACGAUAUUUCAAUCAAAUUUCUGCCCUAUCAUAUUUGUUGGUAGAGUAGCGGCCUACCAAGGUGAUGACGGGUAACGGGGAAUCAGGGUUCGAUUCCGGAGAGGGAGCCUGAGAAAUAGCUACCACGUCCAAGGAUGGCAGCAGGCGCGCAAACUAUCCAAUCCAGAUACUGGGAGAUGGUGACGAGACAUAUUGGGACUCACCAGCACCGCUGGUCGAGUUACCAGAUAGACUACAACCUAAAACAGUGCUAAAACAAUCAACAGGAGGGCAAGUCUGGUGCCAGCAGCCGCGGUAAUACCAGCUCCUGUGGCCUAUAUGGUCGUUGUUGCGGUUAAAAAGCUCGUAGUUGAAAUACGGUGCGCUCGAGAGCCGUAUCGGUGGUAAGCCUGCCCAGGGUGAACGCCACCUCGUGUGUGCAGCGUGCCAGUGUGGUCAACACACUGGGCCUGUGUGCCGAGUGCUGGUGCCUGUGACGCAGUGUUGUAGCCUGGCGUGUUCAGUGCCCAGGCUGGUGAUGUGCGUGUCAGUUGUGCCUAGAUGUGUGCACGCAAGUGUGUGUGUCCUGGUGUGACUGGCGUGUGUGUCACUGGCCUGCGAGUGUCGGCGCCAGGCUAUUUUAUCGCUGAGACGGCAUUAGAGUGUGCUUUCUCGUCCGGCUUCAGUGAAAAAUUACCCUUCACUGGGUACACUGAACGCCGGGCGAAUUGUGCCUUGAGUAAAAUAGAGUGCUCAAAGCAGGCUAGGCAUGUAACAGUGUCAUUGCCCGUAUACUCCAGCAUGGAACGAAUGUCCAAUUGCUUGAACCACCCUGCGGCCUGGUUAGUUGGUUGAGCGUGAGAGCGCUCAGUGUGCAGGGAGAGUGCUCGCGUAUGUCGCGGGAGAUGCUGCCUUGUGCACGCCAGGUCGUAUCCGUGGGAGUGUGUACCCAGUAAAUGUGUGUGUGCCUUGUGCACGUGUGCAAUGCGAGCACAGCUCCGUGGAGAAACCUGCAUGUGAUAUACUAUUGUAAUAAUAGAUGAUAUUGUGUGCAGGCCGCGGUGUGUAAUGUAAUAUAUUUAUAUUAUCUGUGUCAAAAUGUCCAGUGUGUGUGCAUCUUUGCGUGUCACUACUGGCACGCGUGCGUCUCCAUGUGUGCCAGUGCGUGGCUUCACUUGGGGGCACUGGAACCAGCUCUUCAGUGUCUUUCAUCCUCACCCCAGGGGUCUGCUGACUCCUGGUUACGUGCAGGUGAGCCUGUUGGGCCCAGUGACCUACCAGUGGCCAUUUACCCGUACACCACUUCCAGUGUGUGUACGUGGCGUGCUGUGUGUGCGUGAGGGGCGCAGCCUGUGUCUGUGUGUUAUAUCAUCAGACACAGUGUCUUCAGCGCCUGUCAAUUUGUGGUGCAUGUGUAAUGAGAUGUGUGCGUGUAAACUGAUGACUGUUUUCUCGCCCUGGGAUCGAUGCCGCUCCCACGUAUGGGUAUCGGUUAACAGAAACAUUUGGGGGCAUUGGUAUUUGGCCGCGAGAGGUGAAAUUCUAAGACCGGCCAAAGACUGACGAUUGCGAAGGCAUUUGCCAAAGAUGCGUUCAUUAAUCAAGGACUAAGGUUGGUGGAUCGAAGACGAUUAGAUACCGUCGUAGUACCAACUGUAAACUAUGCCAACCAGGGCUCAGGCCGGAUCGGCAAAUAUUGUGUACCAAUGUGUGCACAUAUUGCAGUGAUCCAGGUUGGGCCCCCCGGGAAACCUAAAGUGUUUGGGUUCCGGGGGGAGUAUGGUUGCAAGGCUGAAACUUAAAGGAAUUGACGGAAGGGCACCACCAGGAGUGGAGCCUGCGGCCUAAUUUGACUCAACACGGGGAAUCUCACCAGGUCCGGACAUCGGAAGGAUUGACAGACUGAUAGAUCUUUCAUGAUUCGGUGAAUGGUGGUGCAUGGCCGUUCUUGGUUGGUGGAGUGAUUUGUCUGGUUUAUUCCGUGAACGAGCGCAACCACAGCCUCUAUUUUGGCCGUACGAAGUGACAACGCGUGUGUGUGUUUGCAAAAAUGUGUGCACGCGAGCACACGUGUGGUGGCAGCGCAAGCUGUCACUGUGCGUGUGUGAAUGCCGUCGGCUGUGCCGGUGCGUUAGUCUCUGUGCGCUGUCGGUGGUUGGCCAAUGCUCAAUGGCCGGGGAGUUGCUGGUGCAUAUCCCAAACGGGGCAGUGUCUGAUCGGCAAUGUCGCUGGCAGCGCGUCCAGGUGGCAAUCGUGAUGAAUUGCCAUAUUCUGGCGCUGUACAGUUGCCGGUAGUGUGGUGCUGCUUCGGUGCAUCAGUGCCCUGGCUGUUGGGUGGUCAACUGGCUGGUGGCGUGUGGAGAUGUGCUGGUGUUUUGGUCGAUGCGUGUUCGUGCGCCUUCAUAGAGGGACUACCGGUGGCAAGCCGGGGGAAGUGUGACAAUAGCAGGUCAGUGAUGCCCUUAGAUGUUCUGGGCUGCACGCGCGCUACAAUGGCGACGUCAAUGAGUUUUCUGCAUCGAAAGAUGUGGGUAAUCUGUCAAUCGUCGCCGUGCUGGGGAUUGAGCCUUGAAAUUAUUGCUCAUGAACCUGGAAUUCCUCGUAAGUACGAGUCACCAGCUCGUGCUGAAUACGUCUCUGCCCUUUGUACACACCGCCCGUCGCUACUACCGAUUGAAUGAUUCGGUGAGGGCAAGGGAUUGAUCGGUCUCACUGUUUGUAGACUGGUCGAGAGCCUGUCCAAGUAGCAUCAGUCAG